AUGUUGCGGAUAUUUUCUGAAUCCAUGGCGCAUAAGCAUCCGAUAUCUGUAAUCACUGACGGGGACCUUGCAAUGCAGAGAGCGAUCAGGGUGGUGUGGCCUGACUCAUACCACAGGCUGUGUGUAUGGCACAUUCAACAGAACAUCGUACGCCAUCUGCAUGAUGACGAGGUUAGGGAAGAAUUUAGAUCUUUCAUAUAUGACUCGUCUUGUAUUGAAGAGCAUGAGAGAAAAUGGAUAGAGUUCUUACAAAGGAAUGAUGUGACAAGUGAGGAGUCGUGGUUGCAUCAGAUGUAUCAGAUGAGGAAGUUGUGGUGUGCUCCAUACCUGGUGGGGCACUGUUUCUUAGGAUUGAGCAGCAAUCAGCGGAGUGAGAGCCUAAACUCCGUGCUACAUACACAUCUUGAGGGUAAGAUGACAUUCUUUGAUAUGCUAGAGCACUAUGAGCGUUGCCUUUCGGGACGACGCUUGAAUGAGGCGAUCCUAGACAUCGUGACCUUGUAG
This 504-nucleotide ribosomal RNA is filed under the name Triticum aestivum (bread wheat). Its description in RNAcentral is "partial small subunit ribosomal RNA". The record is from RNAcentral. Lineage: Eukaryota; Viridiplantae; Streptophyta; Magnoliopsida; Poales; Poaceae.